GACGAACGCUGGCGGCGUGCUCAACACAUGCAAGUCGAGCGGUAAGGCUCCUUCGGGAGUACACGAGCGGCGAACGGGUGAGUAACACGUGAGUAAUCUGCCCUUCACUUCGGGAUAACCACCGGAAACGGUGGCUAAUACCGAAUACGACCAGUCUUCGCAUGAGGUGCUGGUGGAAAGUCUUUUCGGUGAAGGAUGUGCUCGCGGCCUAUCAGCUUGUUGGUGGGGUAAUGGCCUACCAAGGCUUCGACGGGUAGCCGGCCUGAGAGGGUGACCGGCCACACUGGGACUGAGACACGGCCCAGACUCCUACGGGAGGCAGCAGUGGGGAAUAUUGGACAAUGGGCGAAAGCCUGAUCCAGCAACGCCGCGUGAGGGAUGACGGCCUUCGGGUUGUAAACCUCUUUCAGUACCGACGAAGCGCCCUGUCGGGUGGUGACGGUAGGUACAGAAGAAGGACCGGCCAACUACGUG
This 474-nucleotide ribosomal RNA is filed under the name uncultured bacterium. RNAcentral describes it as "partial 16S ribosomal RNA". It matches the Rfam family "Bacterial small subunit ribosomal RNA", at positions 28 to 507 of the family's 1533-position model. The record is from RNAcentral.